UCAGGACGAACGCUGGCGGCGUGCCUAAUACAUGCAAGUCGAACGCUUCUUUUUCCACCGGAGCUUGCUCCACCGGAAAAAGAGGAGUGGCGAACGGGUGAGUAACACGUGGGUAACCUGCCCAUCAGAAGGGGAUAACACUUGGAAACAGGUGCUAAUACCGUAUAACAAUCAAAACCGCAUGGUUUUGAUUUGAAAGGCGCUUUCGGGUGUCGCUGAUGGAUGGACCCGCGGUGCAUUAGCUAGUUGGUGAGGUAACGGCUCACCAAGGCCACGAUGCAUAGCCGACCUGAGAGGGUGAUCGGCCACAUUGGGACUGAGACACGGCCCAAACUCCUACGGGAGGCAGCAGUAGGGAAUCUUCGGCAAUGGACGAAAGUCUGACCGAGCAACGCCGCGUGAGUGAAGAAGGUUUUCGGAUCGUAAAACUCUGUUGUUAGAGAAGAACAAGGAUGAGAGUAACUGUUCAUCCCUUGACGGUAUCUAACCAGAAAGCCACGGCUAACUACGUGCCAGCAGCCGCGGUAAUACGUAGGUGGCAAGCGUUGUCCGGAUUUAUUGGGCGUAAAGCGAGCGCAGGCGGUUUCUUAAGUCUGAUGUGAAAGCCCCCGGCUCAACCGGGGAGGGUCAUUGGAAACUGGGAGACUUGAGUGCAGAAGAGGAGAGUGGAAUUCCAUGUGUAGCGGUGAAAUGCGUAGAUAUAUGGAGGAACACCAGUGGCGAAGGCGGCUCUCUGGUCUGUAACUGACGCUGAGGCUCGAAAGCGUGGGGAGCAAACAGGAUUA
This 785-nucleotide ribosomal RNA is filed under the name Enterococcus faecium. Its description in RNAcentral is "bacterial SSU rRNA". It matches the Rfam family "Bacterial small subunit ribosomal RNA", at positions 24 to 780 of the family's 1533-position model. The record is from RNAcentral. Lineage: Bacteria; Bacillati; Bacillota; Bacilli; Lactobacillales; Enterococcaceae.